Molecule: long non-coding RNA, 516 nt
Organism: Saccostrea cuccullata (small rock oyster)
Lineage: Eukaryota; Metazoa; Mollusca; Bivalvia; Ostreida; Ostreidae
Exons: 3
Source: RefSeq, a predicted model, not a curated record
AAAGUGAAAGUAGAAACCUUAAAACCAUUGUGACUGUCAGUUGGUGUUUAUGUAUGUUGAGAUGGCUGUCAAGUCGAUUCUUUCAUCAACUUAAUAACAAGUGUUUGUUUUUAUGGCCUAUAGAUGCAUGCAGUAACUUGAGUUCAGUGUCACAUUGCUGCGUCUAAAAAGCCCAAAGCUGAUAAGACUGGCGAUUGAUCCUAAAGCUGAUUUGACAGAAGAUUGCAUCUCCACAAUAUUAAAGGUUCAAUAUACAGUCAGCCUCUCAUAAGAAUAAAUCCCAAGAUCCAAGACUUGCUUAAAAGCUUAAUUAAGAGACCAUUCUGUGCCACAAAGAAAUUGUUCAGGAAAGGGAGAAAUGGUGGAUUUGCAUUUUGGGUACAGUUCAAAGAGAGUUCAAAAUGGUCAAGCUCAUGGAAUAUCAGAGGGAGGACAACUGAAGAAAACUGAAAGAUACAGAAGGAAAAAGAACAAGAAAAUAUAUAAAAUAUUUAUGAAAUUGGGAGGAUGUACACA